RNAcentral lists this ribosomal RNA (530 nucleotides) under Eutropis multifasciata (many-lined sun skink). RNAcentral's name for it is "partial 16S ribosomal RNA". It matches the Rfam family "Bacterial large subunit ribosomal RNA", at positions 1841 to 2621 of the family's 2925-position model. The record is from RNAcentral. Lineage: Eukaryota; Metazoa; Chordata; Lepidosauria; Squamata; Scincidae.
AAGUAUUAAAGGUCCCGCCUGCCCAGUGAAAUAUUUUAACGGCCGCGGUAUUCUAACCGUGCAAAGGUAGCGUAAUCACUUGUCUUCUAAAUAAAGACUAGUAUGAACGGCUAAAUGAGGACAAAACUGUCUCUUAUGACUAAUCAGUGAAACUGAUCUACCAGUACAAAAGCUGGUAUUACUACAUAAGACGAGAAGACCCUGUGGAGCUUAAAACAAACCACUACCCAAUAAGACCCCUAGUGUACUGUUUUAAGUUGGGGCGACUUCGGAACAAAACAAAACUUCCGAGCAUAGAUCCACCAGAUCAAACCAAGGCCUACAAGCCAAAAUAAAAACUGACCCGGCCCAAGCCGAUCAACGAACCAAGUUACCCCAGGGAUAACAGCGCUAUCUUCUUCAAGAGUCCAUAUCGACAAGAAGGUUUACGACCUCGAUGUUGGAUCAGGACACCCAAGUGGUGCAGCCGCUACUAAAGGUUCGUUUGUUCAACGAUUAACAGUCCUACGUGAUCUGAGUUCAGACCGGAG